This 73-nucleotide transfer RNA is filed under the name Buceros rhinoceros silvestris. It matches the Rfam family "tRNA". Rfam says of the family: Transfer RNA (tRNA) molecules are approximately 80 nucleotides in length. Their secondary structure includes four short double-helical elements and three loops (D, anti-codon, and T loops). The record is from Rfam by way of RNAcentral. Lineage: Eukaryota; Metazoa; Chordata; Aves; Bucerotiformes; Bucerotidae.
GCAUGGCUAGCUCAGUUGGUACAGCAGGAGACUCUUAAUCUCAGGGCUGUGGGUUCGAGCCCCAUGUUGGGUG